This 449-nucleotide ribosomal RNA is filed under the name uncultured bacterium. RNAcentral describes it as "partial 16S ribosomal RNA". It matches the Rfam family "Bacterial small subunit ribosomal RNA", at positions 28 to 523 of the family's 1533-position model. The record is from RNAcentral.
GACGAACGCUGGCGGCAGGCUUAACACAUGCAAGUCGCACGGGCAGCAAUGUCAGUGGCGGACGGGUGAGUACCGCGUAGGAAUGUGUCCAGAGGUGGGGGACAACCUUGGGAAACUGAGGCUAAUACCGCAUAUGAGCUGAGGCUCAAAGCAGCGAUGCGCCUUUGGAGUAGCCUGCGUCCGAUUAGCUAGUUGGUGGGGUAAAGGCCUACCAAGGCGACGAUCGGUAGCUGGUCUGAGAGGACGACCAGCCACACUGGGACUGAGACACGGCCCAGACUCCUACGGGAGGCAGCAGUGGGGAAUAUUGGACAAUGGGCGCAAGCCUGAUCCAGCAAUGCCGCGUGUGUGAAGAAGGUCUUCGGAUCGUAAAGCACUUUCGACGGGGACGAUGAUGACGGUACCCGUAGAAGAAGCCCCGGCUAACUUCGUGCCAGCAGCCGCGGUAA